CAUAUGCAGUAUACCAUUAAAGAGUGUCUCGAAACAGACAUAGGUAAAGCAACACGUGGCCAAAUUGGUCACAUCGAGUAAUCCCGCUGUUGGUUGUAGGUGGCGAGCACAUUACGCGAGUACACGGGCCUAGCGGAGAGCACAGCGCUGCGCGCGCUGACGGCGGCGUGUUGUCGCGCCGCGUGGAGACUGGUGCUGGCCGCGCCGCAGCUCCGACUCGACACCGACUUCACCGCCACACGCUUCGACCCCGAGAAGCACGUGGUGUGGGUGGCGGGCGCGGGGCGCGCGGCGGCGGCGGGCGGCGCGCGCGGGCAGCCCAUCCGGAGCUUCGUGUGGCCCGCGCUGCUCGACCACCAGCGCGUGCUGUUCCGCGCCGUCGUGCUGGUGUGACCUGACCGGUGCGCGCCCCACACCGCCACGCCCCAGGCCAUCCACGAACACGCGUACUUUGACUCAUAUUGUCAUCUUAUUAAAGGUUACGUACGACAAGUCUGCGCGUCAUCCUGGAUGACACGAACUAUACACAGGCUACUUCGAGGUUCUUGCCAUUGUUUGAGCGGCAACUCUCGACGUCCAGAGCUGUCACAAUUGAGGCUGCCUUAUCUUACGAAAGGCGCUAGGAACCUCUGAAUAUUGUCGCUGAGACAACGUACAAAAUGGUACUGAAAUUAAAUUCGUUGACCUUACAUCGUGUAAGUAAAUGCACAUGAACAGUGUGUUGAGAACAAUGUAAACGAUCACACGGCGAGCUUUUUUGAAUCCGUUCGUUUUAGGUAAAAGCUCUAAGCGAGGAUGAGGAGGAGGAGGAUUUAGCUCAAAUACGAGUGCCUUGACCAAAUAGUUACAACAUUUUAAAUAAGAAUCUUAUAAGAUGAUUUCUUAUAAUAAAACUCAUGUUUAAUUUAGUUACAUAUUUAUUUAGUUUUAAGUGUACAUUGUUAUUUUAAGAACAAUAAAAAAUAUUCGUUAGAA
This is a long non-coding RNA of Cydia pomonella (codling moth), 975 nucleotides long. RefSeq lists it as uncharacterized. The transcript has 2 exons. The record is from RefSeq and is a predicted model, not a curated record. Lineage: Eukaryota; Metazoa; Arthropoda; Insecta; Lepidoptera; Tortricidae.